This 395-nucleotide unclassified non-coding RNA is filed under the name soil metagenome. RNAcentral's name for it is "partial contains 5.8S ribosomal RNA, internal transcribed spacer 2, and large subunit ribosomal RNA". The stretch from base 1 to 122 matches the Rfam family "5.8S ribosomal RNA", at positions 35 to 154 of the family's 154-position model. The record is from RNAcentral.
GAUGAAGAACGUAGCGAAAUGCGAUACUUGGUGUGAAUUGCAGAAUCCCGUGAACCAUCGAGUCUUUGAACGCAAGUUGCGCCCGAAGCCAUCAGGUUGAGGGCACGUCUGCCUGGGCGUCACAUCUCGUUGCCCAAUGCCUAUUGCAGUGCAAUAGGAAUUUCUAGGGCGAAUGAUGGCUUCCCGUGAGCGUUGUUGCCUCGCGGUUGGUUGAAAAUCGAGUCCUUGGUAGGGUCUGCCAUGGUAGAUGGUGGUCGAGUUAGAACGAUACCGAUCAUGUGCAUGCUCCCCAAAAUAUGGCCUCUAUGACCCACACGCGUCUUUUGACGCUCAUGACGAGACCUCAGGUCAGGCGGGGCUACCCGCUGAAUUUAAGAAUAUCAAUAAGCGGAGGA